UGUCGGGUAUGAAUGAAAGCUCUCUGACUGUGGAUAUCCCGCAGGAGAACUGCGAGGAACGCGUGCUCGCGUCGAAAAUCCUGGGUUGUGCGAGUGUAGCGGCAUUACCCAGAAAUAGCAGCUUAAAUUAUUAUAGGUUUUCUGGGUCGGCUACUUCAUCCGGGGUCCCCGUAUUGAUAACUGUCGAACUUAAGGAGUAUGGAAAAGAGAGUAGGAUUACGGUGAAUUGCGAAAAAAUGACAAUCAAUUCAAUUUUGGCGAAAGAACUGGUCGCCGCUGUGGGAAAAGUAUGAUACAUUCGCCACCGAAUGAUAACUCUGUAUAAUCAUUAGCUGCUUUAUCAAACCAAGAAUGAUUUAAUAUGUAUAUAAGAAAAAUGA
This is a long non-coding RNA of Xenia sp. Carnegie-2017, 380 nucleotides long. RefSeq lists it as uncharacterized. NCBI's taxonomy places the organism in Eukaryota, Metazoa, Cnidaria, Anthozoa, Malacalcyonacea, Xeniidae. The transcript is spliced from 2 exons. The record is from RefSeq and is a predicted model, not a curated record.